RNAcentral lists this ribosomal RNA (478 nucleotides) under Austropotamobius torrentium (stone crayfish). RNAcentral describes it as "partial 16S ribosomal RNA". It matches the Rfam family "Bacterial large subunit ribosomal RNA", at positions 1857 to 2599 of the family's 2925-position model. Lineage: Eukaryota; Metazoa; Arthropoda; Malacostraca; Decapoda; Astacidae. The record is from RNAcentral.
ACCUGCCCAUUGAGAUUUGAAAGGCCGCGGUAUUAUGACCGUGCUAAGGUAGCAUAAUCAUUAGUCUUUUAAUUGGAGGCUGGAAUGAAUGGUCGGACAAGAGAUAAGCUGUCUUAAGUAAAAAUAUUGAAUUUAACUUUUAAGUGAAAAGGCUUAAAUCUUCUAGGGGGACGAUAAGACCCUAUAAAACUUUAUAUUUUGAAAUAAUAAUUAAUUUUGUGUGGGAGGUUUAUUUUUAAGUAUUUUAUUGGGGUGAUAAGGAUAAAAUAAUAAGUAACUGUCUUUUUUUUUAUUACAAUAAUAUUUGAGCAAAUGAACCUAGUAAGGGAAAGAAGAUUAAGUUACUUUAGGGAUAACAGCGUAAUUUUUUUUUAAGAGUUCUUAUCGACAAGAAAGUUUGCGACCUCGAUGUUGAAUUAAAAAUUCUUUAUAGAGCAGAAACUAUAAAAGAAGGUCUGUUCGACCUUUAAAAUUUUAC